AUAGGAGACAAGAAGGCAUCUUCUUGUUUUUAAAAGACCUAGCAAUAGGUAUGCUUAGGGAGGAGCUUGCGUCACAUUAGUUAGUUGGUGGGGUAAAGGCCUACCAAGACUAUGAUGUGUAGCCGGGCUGAGAGGUUGAACGGCCACAUUGGGACUGAGACACGGCCCAAACUCCUACGGGAGGCAGCAGUAGGGAAUUUUCGGCAAUGGAGGAAACUCUGACCGAGCAACGCCGCGUGAACGAUGAAGUAUUUCGGUACGUAAAGUUCUUUUAUUAGGGAAGAAUAAAUGAUGGAAAAAUCAUUCUGACGGUACCUAAUGAAUAAGCCCCGGCUAACUAUGUGCCAGCAGCCGCGGUAAUACAUAGGGGGCAAGCGUUAUCCGGAAUUAUUGGGCGUAAAGGGUGCGUAGGCGGUUAAAUAAGUUUAUGGUCUAAGUGCAAUGCUCAACAUUGUGAUGCUAUAAAAACUGUUUAGCUAGAGUAAGAUAGAGGCAAGUGGAAUUCCAUGUGUAGUGGUAAAAUGCGUAAAUAUAUGGAGGAACACCAGUAGCGAAGGCGGCUUGCUGGGUCUUUACUGACGCUGAGGCACGAAAGCGUGGGGAGCAAACAGGAUUAGAUACCCUGGUAGUCCACGCCGUAAACGAUGAGUACUAAACGUUGGGUAAAACCAGUGUUGAAGUUAACACAUUAAGUACUCCGCCUGAGUAGUACGUACGCAAGUAUGAAACUUAAAG
Molecule: ribosomal RNA, 735 nt
Filed under: Rice orange leaf phytoplasma
Lineage: Bacteria; Bacillati; Mycoplasmatota; Mollicutes; Acholeplasmatales; Acholeplasmataceae
Description: bacterial SSU rRNA
Rfam family: Bacterial small subunit ribosomal RNA
Source: RNAcentral